UCCUAGGGUCAGAUGCCAACAAUAUAUCGUUUGGGAAUGGGGACCCUAACUGCAGCAGGCAUCAGCUCUUCCGGGCUCAUCACCUUCCUUACACCUCUGGCGAGCUGCCACCUCUUGCGAGCUAGCUGUUACGUGUGGAGGAGCUAGAGCUCUGCAGCAUGUCAAGCAGGUCCAAGAGACGCCUCUCGCUGUUCAGAUCGAAACUCCACCACCGAAUUGAAGGCAGGCCCGAGUCCUCUUCAAGUGUCUCCUUUCGAUCCUUAGCUUCAUAUACUCUCGUAUCCUGCUGCAAACGAACAUACAACUGAAAGUGCUGUAGUCAAUCCCCUUCGAACGAAGGUUGCCCCAGCUGUGUUUCCUUGCUUUCCACUCUCAAAUUCUUUGCACAUUCAAUCCCUUAAACUUAAUUCAAACGACGUCAUUCUUGAACUAUUGGUGAUCUCAACACAAGGUGUGAAUUCACUUGUAAGCUUGGUGAGCUGGCACCUUGCAUUAUUGGAGAUUUAGUGGCUCGACAGCAAGCGCUCAUCGACUCUAUAUCUUAGUGUGGAGCGAUGAUGACCAUGUACAACGUAUACGAGGAGAACUCUUUCUUCAUGGAAAAUCUGCAUAGGCAGACGAGAUAGCAUCAUGGUUACCUGAAGAUAAGUUUCGCUGAUACUUACCUUUAUUUAUGAUAAGUCUCUCAUUUAACUUGGUGACAAGCCGAAGACUUUGACCAGGAUGGAUUUUGUAAUCAAGAGAGUAUCAUUAGUGCAGCUCUAAAGUGGACUAUAUUGGUGAUAUUUGCUAUUCAUACCACGAUGUAAAUGGUCGUGCCAAGUUUACCGUCUUACUCAGCUUAUGUUUCUGCAUUUUGUA
Panicum virgatum (switchgrass) is the source of this 861-nucleotide long non-coding RNA. RefSeq lists it as uncharacterized. NCBI's taxonomy places the organism in Eukaryota, Viridiplantae, Streptophyta, Magnoliopsida, Poales, Poaceae. The record is from RefSeq and is a predicted model, not a curated record. The transcript has 2 exons.